RNAcentral lists this long non-coding RNA (914 nucleotides) under Mytilus galloprovincialis (Mediterranean mussel). The record is from RNAcentral. Lineage: Eukaryota; Metazoa; Mollusca; Bivalvia; Mytilida; Mytilidae.
AUAUUUAUACCCCCGCUUUAAAAAAGGGGGGGUAUACUGUUUUUUAUACCCCCGCUUUAAAACCCCCGCUUUAAAAAAGGGGGGGUAUACUGUUUUACCUCUGUCUGUCAGUCUGUCCGUCCGUCCGUCCGUCCAUCAGUCCGUCCGUCAGUCCGUCCGUCAGUCCGUCUGUCAGUCAGUCAGUCCGUCCCAUGAAACUUUCGUCACAUUUUUCUCAGGAACUACACAUCCACCCUUUCUGUAAUUUGGUAUCAACAUUUAUAUAUGUCAGCCACACAGUGUGAUGCGUUUUCAGAUUCAUCACUUGACAACUUCCUGUUUACCGAACACUUGUCUGAUUUUACACAUGAUAGCCAGGUUGAAAAUUUUCAUCACAUUUUUCUCAGGAACUACAAUACAAGGAUUUCUGAAAUUUGGUUUCAAGAUUUAUAUAAGUCAGCUAUACUGUGUGAUGCGUUUUCAGAUUCAUCACUCGACAACUUCCUGUUUACAGAACACUUGUAUGAUUUUACACAUGAUAGCCAAGUUGAAAAUUUUCGUCACAUUUUUCUCAGGAACUACAAUACAAGGAUUUCUGAAAUUUGGUUUCAGGAUUUAUAUAAGUCAGCUAUACCGUGUGAUGCGUUUUCAGAUUCAUCAUUCGACUACUUCCUGUUUACCGAACACUUGUAUGAUUUUACACAUGAUAACCAAGUUAAAAAUUUUCGUCACAUUUUUCUCAGCUACAAUACAAGGAUUUCUGAAAUUUGGUUUUCAGGAUUUUUAUAAGUCAGCUAUACCGUGUGAUGCGUUUUCAGAUUCAUCACUCGACAACUUCCUGUUUACCGAACACUUGCAUCUUUUUACACUAUUAAUAUUAUCCACUUGCGGCGGGGGUAUCAUCAGUGAGCAGUAGCUCGCAGUUUCACUUGUUU